Long non-coding RNA from Haliotis rufescens (red abalone), 441 nucleotides. RefSeq lists it as uncharacterized. The transcript is spliced from 2 exons. The record is from RefSeq and is a predicted model, not a curated record. NCBI's taxonomy places the organism in Eukaryota, Metazoa, Mollusca, Gastropoda, Lepetellida, Haliotidae.
CACAAUUGUGUUGACGUCACAUUUCUCAGGGAGAUGAAUCAGUCAGUCUGACUUCGGGAAACAGACAACACAGCCGUACGCUUCAGACAACUUGCUCAAGUAAGAUGUCGGAGACAGCUGCAGCGACGUUCAACUACUUGGCGGGGUAUCUCGCCGCUAUGUACCGGCGCCUCCCAGCAGCCGUCACCAGAGUCUGCAACGUGGUGUACAGCACCCUGGGGUCCGGCUCCACCCUCCUGGUCCAGGGGAUGCAGGGUGCACGGCGGCGCUUCUGCUUCAUGGUGGGCUGGACGAAAAAGAAGGCCAAGUGAACGUCUCUUGAUUUCCGACCUGAUGCAACUCCUACAGUUUUCUCCUGUAUGGUGUAUAUGGGAAUUUCCUUGUUUGUUCUACGAAACAUAUGGUGUUAAUGUCAUAAUUAAACUUUCAUUGUCAUAGUCA